AUACGGAGGAUCCGAGCGUUAUCCGGAUUUAUUGGGUUUAAAGGGUGCGCAGGCGGCCAUUUAAGUCAGCGGUUAAAUCGUGGGGCUCAACCCCAUUCUGCCGUUGAUACUGGGUGGCUUGAUUGCGGUCGAGGUUGGCGGAAUUCGUUGUGUAGCGGUGAAAUGCAUAGAUAUGACGAAGAACACCGAUUGCGUAGGCAGCUGACCAGAACGCAAAUGACGCUCAUGCACGAAAGUGCGGGGAUCGAACAGGAUUAGAUACCCUGGUAGUCCGCACAGUAAACGAUGAAUACUUGUUUUCGGCGAUAUAAUGUCGGAGGCAAAGCGAAAGCGAUAAGUAUUCCACCUGGGGAGUACGCCGGCAACGGUGAAACUCAAAUGAAUUGGCGGGG
This 392-nucleotide ribosomal RNA is filed under the name uncultured bacterium. RNAcentral's name for it is "partial 16S ribosomal RNA". It matches the Rfam family "Bacterial small subunit ribosomal RNA", at positions 523 to 918 of the family's 1533-position model. The record is from RNAcentral.